CAUCCUUUUCCUUCCUUCAGCUCCCUCCUCCUCCUUUUCUACCAUCAUCUAUUAGAGAUGAUGUGGACUAAGGAGUUGUCCCUUCUUGCUUCGGGCAGUGAUGUCCUUUCUCUCCUUCCUUUUUUAUGUUUAUCAAAUAAGGGGGAGAAAAGAGACACAUCAACAUCUAGAAGCAUGUACUCAAGGGGUGUACACCAGAAGAUAUGAUAGAAUAUGAUAACAUAGAAUCAAAGGAAGUCUCCAGAUUCUUAGAAUUUCACCUUAGGAGUUCAUGUCAUAGAUUCACCCCCCACCCCCUCAUUCUCGUGUUUUAAAGGUACUUCAGGUUGUAUCAGAGUUAACCUCGCAGGGUUAGUUUUUAGCAGGACUCAAGGAGUAGCUAAACUCGGACUAAGGUUGAGACUAGAAGUGGUUAUAGAAUACUUGUAAACCAAGAGUGGUUAAACUCAGACUAGUCGUGAGUGGUGAGAAUACUCAUUGUAAACCUGAAGAGGUAAAACUCGUGUAAUCUUUUCAAAGAUUAGUG
This 526-nucleotide long non-coding RNA is filed under the name Vigna radiata. Its description in RNAcentral is "long non-coding RNA (VRAD_LNC007196)". The record is from RNAcentral. Lineage: Eukaryota; Viridiplantae; Streptophyta; Magnoliopsida; Fabales; Fabaceae.